Molecule: ribosomal RNA, 1343 nt
Filed under: uncultured bacterium
Lineage: Bacteria
Description: 16S ribosomal RNA
Rfam family: Bacterial small subunit ribosomal RNA
Source: RNAcentral
GACGAACGUUGGCGGCGUGCUUAACACAUGCAAGUCGAACGGAAAGGCCCUGCUUUUGUGGGGUGCUCGAGUGGCGAACGGUUGAGUAACACGUGAGUAACCUGCCCUUGACUUUGGGAUAACUUCAGGAAACUGGGGCUAAUACCGGAUAGGAGCUCCUGCUGCAUGGUGGGGGUUGGAAAGUUUCGGCGGUUGGGGAUGGACUCGCGGCUUAUCAGCUUGUUGGUGGGGUAGUGGCUUACCAAGGCUUUGACGGGUAGCCGGCCUGAGAGGGUGACCGGCCACAUUGGGACUGAGAUACGGCCCAGACUCCUACGGGAGGCAGCAGUGGGGAAUAUUGCACAAUGGGCGGAAGCCUGAUGCAGCAACGCCGCGUGCGGGAUGACGGCCUUCGGGUUGUAAACCGCUUCCGCCUGUGACGAAGCGUGAGUGACGGUAAUGGGUAAAGAAGCACCGGCUAACUACGUGCCAGCAGCCGCGGUGAUACGUAGGGUGCGAGCGUUGUCCGGAUUUAUUGGGCGUAAAGGGCUCGUAGGUGGUUGAUCGCGUCGGAAGUGUAAUCUUGGGGCUUAACCCUGAGCGUGCUUUCGAUACGGGUUGACUUGAGGAAGGUAGGGGAGAAUGGAAUUCCUGGUGGAGCGGUGGAAUGCGCAGAUAUCAGGAGGAACACCAGUGGCGAAGGCGGUUCUCUGGGCCUUUCCUGACGCUGAGGAGCGAAAGCGUGGGGAGCGAACAGGCUUAGAUACCCUGGUAGUCAACGCUGUAAACGGUGGGUACUAGGUGUGGGGUCCAUUCCACGGGUUCCGUGCCGUAGCUAACGCUUUAAGUACCCCGCCUGGGGAGUACGGCCGCAAGGCUAAAACUCAAAGGAAUUGACGGGGCCCCGCACAAGCGGCGGAGCAUGCGGAUUAAUUCGAUGCAACGCUUAGAACCUUACCUGGGUUUGACAUGGAUCGGGAGUGCUCAGAGAUGGGUGUGCCUCUUUUGGGGUCGGUUCACAGGUGGUGCAUGCCUGUCGUCAGCUCGUGUCGUGAGAUGUUGGGUUAAGUCCCGCAACGAGCGCAACCCUUGUUCACUGUUGCCAGCACGUUAUGGUGGGGACUCAGUGGAGACCGCCGGGGUCAACUCGGAGGAGGGUGGGGAUGACGUCAAGUCCUCAUGCCCCUUAUGUCCAGGGCUUCACGCAUGCUACAAUGGCUGGUACAGAGAGUGGCGAGCCUGUGAGGGUGAGCGAAUCUCGGAAAGCCGGUCUCAGUUCGGAUUGGGGUCUGCAACUCGACCUCAUGAAGUCGGAGUCGCUAGUAAUCGCAGAUCAGCAACGCUGCGGUGGAUACGUUCCCGGG